This 468-nucleotide ribosomal RNA is filed under the name uncultured bacterium. Its description in RNAcentral is "partial 16S ribosomal RNA". It matches the Rfam family "Bacterial small subunit ribosomal RNA", at positions 28 to 507 of the family's 1533-position model. The record is from RNAcentral.
GACGAACGCUGGCGGCGUGCUUAACACAUGCAAGUCGAACGGAAAGGCCCUGCUUUUGUGGGGUGCUCGAGUGGCGAACGGGUGAGUAACACGUGAGUAACCUGCCCUUGACUUUGGGAUAACUUCAGGAAACUGGGGCUAAUACCGGAUAGGAGCUCCUGCUGCAUGGUGGGGGUUGGAAAGUUUCGGCGGUUGGGUAUGGACUCGCGGCUUAUCAGCUUGUUGGUGGGGUAGUGGCUUACCAAGGCUUUGACGGGUAGCCGCCCUGAGAGGGUGACCGGCCACAUUGGGACAGAGAUACGGCCCAGAAUCCUACGGGAGGCAGCAGUGCACAAUAUUGCACAAAGGGCGGAAGCAUGAUGCAGCAACGCCGCGUGCGGGAUGACGGCCUUCGGGUUGUAAAACGCUUUAGCCUGUGACGAAGCGUGAGUGACGGUAAUGGGUAAAGAAGCACCGGCUAACUACGUG